Molecule: unclassified non-coding RNA, 249 nt
Filed under: Diaporthe pseudophoenicicola
Lineage: Eukaryota; Fungi; Ascomycota; Sordariomycetes; Diaporthales; Diaporthaceae
Description: partial internal transcribed spacer region
Rfam family: Eukaryotic small subunit ribosomal RNA (bases 1-46)
Source: RNAcentral
AAGUCGUAACAAGGUCUCCGUUGGUGAACCAGCGGAGGGAUCAUUGCUGGAACGCGCCCUAGGCGCACCCAGAAACCCUUUGUGAACUUAUACCUUACUGUUGCCUCGGCGCAUGCUGGCCCCCUCGGGGUCCCCUGGAGACAGGGAGCAGGCACGCCGGCGGCCAAGUUAACUCUUGUUUUUACACUGAAACUCUGAGAAAAAAACACAAAUGAAUCAAAACUUUCAACAACGGAUCUCUUGGUUCUG